This 292-nucleotide ribosomal RNA is filed under the name uncultured bacterium. Its description in RNAcentral is "partial 16S ribosomal RNA". It matches the Rfam family "Bacterial small subunit ribosomal RNA", at positions 505 to 796 of the family's 1533-position model. The record is from RNAcentral.
GUGUCAGCAGCCGCGGUAAUACAGAGGUCUCAAGCGUUGUUCGGAAUCACUGGGCGUAAAGGGUGCGUAGGCCGCACGGUAAGUCAGGUGUGAAAGCCCGGAGCUCAACUCCGGAAUUGCACCCGAUACUGCCGUGCUUGAGGACUGGAGAGGAGUCUGGAAUUCACAGUGGAGCAGUGAAAUGCGUAGAUAUUGUGAGGAACACUAGUGGCGAAGGCGAGACUCUGGACAGUUCCUGACGCUGAGGCACGAAGGCCAGGGGAGCAAACGGGAUUAGAAACCCCAGUAGUCC